GCAUCACAAUGCGAUAAUGACACGCAUUACAUAUGCGAAUGCAUAAUCCAAUUAGGACCAAGGUUCUCGUUUUCUUCUGGUUACACCAUUACCAACUGGCUGACAGUGUACCAAAGUGUUGAGCAUCUACACUCAACGACGUAGAGUAGCCGUAUUUGUAUCAGAUUGGUUUAGAAAAUAGAAGCAACCUCGUGUGGGAACCCUGUUUGUAUCCGGUUGUAUAUAUUAGAAUUAUUUGUUUUAUUUUAAAUAAUUUCUGGAAAAUCUCCAAAAUGCCAUUCUUAUGAUACGGUAAUUGAUAGAAUCCAAAUAAUUAAUUGUUUCAACCACGAAAAGGUUUCAACUUUAAAUAUGGGUAGCGCAAUGAAAUUUCCUGUUAUGUUGCAUUAGUUUGUGCAGCCAAAACUAGAUAGCGCUAGUAAACCAUGCGCUUGCUAAAUAAUUGGUGUGUGUCGCCGAUACUUGUUGGCGCUAGCAUUGAAUGCAGUCUUGCGAUCAAUAUAUUCUUGGCUCAAUCGUUGCUGUACAAUGUUGAUGUCGCAUUUAAUUUAUUUAUCUUUUUAUUUUCUAUUGCAAGCAGCAUUUAACGUUUAAUUGGAUUUUAAAAUUUACUUUAUUUAAAAACGGAAAGGCUUACUAAUAAUUCUUGGGGUAAUUUUUUUAUAUUGUUAUAAAAGAAGAGUUGUUAUUCAAGAUACACCUCAGAAAUCAAACAGGAACAGCCCCAAAGUUGUCUUCAAACUUUGGCACUUUUAUUACAUACUCUGUUAGUUAAAUCGGCAUAAUUAGUAAAUUGUUUAUUGCAAAACAAAACAACCUUUAAUUUAACAGGUUUAGGUAUGCUUGCUACUUUGUAUAAUUUGUUUGAAUGUAUUUUUAAUUUAAUUUAGUAUUAGUAUAGACUUCUAGUGGUGACCUGCUGA
This is a long non-coding RNA of Dalotia coriaria, 923 nucleotides long. RefSeq lists it as uncharacterized. The record is from RefSeq and is a predicted model, not a curated record. The transcript has 3 exons. NCBI's taxonomy places the organism in Eukaryota, Metazoa, Arthropoda, Insecta, Coleoptera, Staphylinidae.